Non-coding RNA from Vitis vinifera (wine grape), 137 nucleotides. NCBI's taxonomy places the organism in Eukaryota, Viridiplantae, Streptophyta, Magnoliopsida, Vitales, Vitaceae. The record is from RefSeq and is marked provisional.
GGCCUUGAGAGUUCCCCCAACCCCUCCAGUAUGACCAUCUCUCUUCUUCUUUUAAUUUGUUCAUCAAAUCUUCUUCUACUAUCUAUUUCCAGGGUGAUUUCCUCUACUGAAGAGUCUGGAGGAACUCUUGGUGCCAC